RNAcentral lists this ribosomal RNA (253 nucleotides) under uncultured bacterium. RNAcentral's name for it is "partial 16S ribosomal RNA". It matches the Rfam family "Bacterial small subunit ribosomal RNA", at positions 524 to 776 of the family's 1533-position model. The record is from RNAcentral.
UACGGAGGGUGCAAGCGUUAUCCGGAUUCACUGGGUUUAAAGGGUGCGUAGGUGGAUUGGUAAGUCAGUGGUGAAAUCUCCGGGCUUAACUCGGAAAGGUCAACUGAUACUGCGGGGCUAGAGUGCGGAAGGGGCAACUGGAAUUCUCGGUGUAGCGGUGAAAUGCGUAGAUAUCGAGAGGAACACCUGCGGCGAAGGCGGGUUGCUGGGCCGACACUGACGCUGAUGCGCGAAAGCCAGGGGAGCGAACGGG